GAUGAACGCUGGCGGCGUGCCUAAUACAUGCAAGUCGAGCGAACAGACGAGGAGCUUGCUCCUCUGACGUUAGCGGCGGACGGGUGAGUAACACGUGGAUAACCUACCUAUAAGACUGGGAUAACUUCGGGAAACCGGAGCUAAUACCGGAUAAUAUAUUGAACCGCAUGGUUCAAUAGUGAAAGACGGUUUUGCUGUCACUUAUAGAUGGAUCCGCGCCGCAUUAGCUAGUUGGUAAGGUAACGGCUUACCAAGGCAACGAUGCGUAGCCGACCUGAGAGGGGGGGGGGCCACACGGAAACGUGGACCGGGCCCACACACCACGGGGGGAAGGAAGAGGGGACUUUUCCAAAAGGGGGGAAGGCCGGACGAGUAACGGCGGGGUGAGUGAGGAAGUUCUUCGUAGCGAAAAACUUUGUUAUGGGGAAAAAAAAAAUGUUAAAGUACCUCUGCCUGUUUGGAGGUAACCUAAUAGAAAGGCCCCGCCAAGCGCGGUC
This 497-nucleotide ribosomal RNA is filed under the name uncultured bacterium. RNAcentral describes it as "partial 16S ribosomal RNA". It matches the Rfam family "Bacterial small subunit ribosomal RNA", at positions 28 to 508 of the family's 1533-position model. The record is from RNAcentral.